UGGUAGUUUAACUUCUAAAGUUUAGUAAGUAUAUAUACACAAUCUAUUCUUUUAUGUAACAUGUAACGGUCCCUCUCUUUAGUUGAGAUCUAAGGAUGUUAUAAACAGUAUUAAGUUGAGGUUUCAACGUUCUGAAUUGUAAAUCAGAUAGAUUUUCAACUGCUUUAGUUGUUAUUAAGGUAGAAGAGGUUACCAAAGGUGCUGUCAAAACAUGAACUCCCAGAAGCAGAUCCUCUGCCUGCCACCUCGAAACAACAACGCGUCGCUCCUCCGGAGGGGAAACAAGAAGGUAGCGGCUCCGAGGACGGAGAUCCCUCCCGAGGCAGCUACAGUUUCUAUCGGUGGGACGAAUGUAUACGAAAGUAGGAACCCGGUUCUCAUCUUAGAACUCUUUGGAAAAUAUAGAGCCGGAGCUCGAGUGAAACUAAGUAAGUUUUCUACAGGAAGGUUGGUCCGAAUUUGUAGAACAUUGAGGUCAGUUCCAAAAAGAGUUUAACUGAAUUUUUAGGCUAGGAGUUUUGACAUGGUACGAUUCUUUUGUAACCCAGGUAUAACAGUCAAAAUCAACAACGUUUCUUUGUGUAAAGUAUGAGAACGGUAGAAGAAACGGGAUUCGACUUUAGGUGAGAUUAUAAAGGGGAAUAGGUACAUUUGGUAGCUUGGUUGUACGCUGAACAGUUACGUUUGACAUUAGAACAUUUAAGAUAUGUUUCCAAGGAGAAAUUUCUUGAGUUGUUUUACAUAAAAUUGCUAUGAAGUACCCAUAGACUUUUACUUAGAUAUUAUCGAGAGAAAAAUAAAUACUAUGUCAAUGUUUACGUCAUAAAGGACUUCCGGGUUAAGUUGAUGUGGUUGAUGGACAUACGACUAAACAACGAAUCAUAACCUUCGUGUCCUUCAAGGAGUGUACAUAUACAAGUAAUAGUGGAUGUUUUUACACAAUGGAUAGGUUACGAAUGGAUGUUGGCCCAGUCCCGUCACGAACAGAGGACUGCGUUGUGAUAUAUUGUUGUCGUCAAGUAGUCGUUCUUGUUAUCUUCAACUUGGCUUUAUGUUUAGUUGUUUGGUUUGGGUCGUUACCUGUCUAGUUGACGUAUCGUGGGUUUACUUAGAGCUUUUCUUAGUCACCCGUUUGGUUUCCCUGUUCCUUGACUUCGGCGUAGACGCAGCACACCGGCCGCCGGCGACAGUGAUGGGGCACCGUCUGCUCCCCCGCCCCGUCUUCUCCACUGGCGCCAUCGCUUACCCCCACGCUUUCAAGGUUGACACCUUCGCCUGCUCCCUCGGCCGCCGCCGCCCGGCGCCUCCGCUAACGCCGCCGCCGCCUGCUUGCCUCGCUCGCUGACCCUCUUCCCUUUCCUCGCGCGGACUCGGCUGAGUAGACCUCGGCUCUCAGUCGCGCGCUCGGCUCCCUUGCGCACCUCGCCCACCCUGCUCCCUAUGGCAGCCUACAACCCUUGCAUGUCCACAGUCGUCUACGCUAGCCGAUGCGUGCCCUCCUCCAAACGUCCUCCAGAGACAAUCCUUAAUUAAUUAAUCAAAUCAAUUUCCCAAUUAGGGACGAAUACAGCCAAAGUGAUAAUCGUUGGCGAGAAACAUUGGCGGAAACAUAAGCCCAUAUAUAUGGGGUUUGAAGUAGUAGGUAGUAAACGAGGACGGUGAGAGCAAAAUGAAAGUGUACAAUAGUCGUGCGGAUACGGCUCUCGGAGCUGCUUCUUGAGGCUACUUAAGGAAAGAGGCCUAUGCGACCUUGUUGGAAGAGGAGCAAAGAAGAAAAGCAGCUGGGGCAGCAGGAGAUGCUGCUAGAUGGGUAGUUAGUAGUUGGUUAAUUUAACCGUCAAGGAAGAGUUAGAAUCUAAGGAAAAGUAGAGUCUACGUUUCUCAUUCUUCCGGUGGUACUCUUCUUUCGUGUUUUAGGACUCUUAAAUGUUAAAGAACGUAGAUGGUACUGCUUGUGUGUAGACUUCUUGUUAUUGACCUUCUCGCCUUUUUGUCAGCUUGUUCUUAGUCCUUCGUGUUGCGUUUCUAGUUCUCUAUUUCAGUGUUUGUCGUUCGUAGGGCUUAGUCGGAAUUUCUGGUCUUGAGAACUAGAAUUAGCAAUGUAGUAGUCCACUAGGAUAAGGUUUAAAACAAGAAUCUGUUUAUGCAUGAUCAUUGGAGGUUAGGUCCGCUGCAUGGACGAACGUCGCCUCUCGGGUCGGAGCUGCAGCGUGGCCACGUGCUGCACGUUCUGUGGGCCGGUUGCCGGUUGAGGGAAUGGUUGUCGGCUGCGGUUAGCCGGUACCGGUGACUGCUCACUGCUGCGUCGCCGGUCGGCUCUGCCACAAACACUCCGUGGGGAGGACAAGGCCGAGGAACGUGAUGCCGCGCGUCGCGAGUCGGGUGCCGGGCCGGUGGGAGCCUUGGUGACGAAGGCCGCCGUCCUGGUCUAGAGCUGCGGCCGCCGCGGGAGGCCGCGUGGUCCGGCGCUGGUAUACGUACCGCGAAGGGCAUGGCGUCGUGACGUCGCCGUAGCCUGCGGGUGCUGGGAGAGUCGCACCACCGACGAGGAGGUUCGCUGCCGUGCUGACCGGGGAGAGUCGCACCUCCGCGGCACGGAAUCGUUCGUUGCCGCUCCAACCAAAGUUACCGAUCUUUAGUGUGCGUGGGUGCCCUACCCUUAACCCGUUUGGAAUAGACAAACAAAAAAGAGUUAAAUCGGGAAUGUCAAAUGAAUAAGUGCCUAAUCCGUGAUGGAUGUCUAGGACA
This 2748-nucleotide ribosomal RNA is filed under the name Triticum aestivum (bread wheat). RNAcentral describes it as "partial small subunit ribosomal RNA". The record is from RNAcentral. Lineage: Eukaryota; Viridiplantae; Streptophyta; Magnoliopsida; Poales; Poaceae.